RNAcentral lists this non-coding RNA (90 nucleotides) under Compsopogon caeruleus. Lineage: Eukaryota; Rhodophyta; Compsopogonophyceae; Compsopogonales; Compsopogonaceae. The record is from RNAcentral.
UCUUCAUUCCAUCCAAGUUGAAAGGAAUACAUGUUCUUGGAAGACGUCACGGGAGUCGAUCUCACCCUCAAACAUUUAGUCUCCGCGUCG